Molecule: ribosomal RNA, 1481 nt
Filed under: uncultured Bordetella sp.
Lineage: Bacteria; Pseudomonadati; Pseudomonadota; Betaproteobacteria; Burkholderiales; Alcaligenaceae
Description: partial 16S-23S ribosomal RNA intergenic spacer
Rfam family: Bacterial small subunit ribosomal RNA
Source: RNAcentral
GGUUCGAUCAUGGCUCAGAUUGAACGCUGGCGGGGUGCUUUACACAUACAAGUCGAACGGCAACACGGACUUCGGUCUGGUGGCGGUGGCGAACGGAUGAGUAAUGUAUCGGAACGUGCCUAGUAGCGGGGGAUAACUACGCGAAAGCGUAGCUAAUACCGCAUGCCCUUCGGGGAAAGCGGGGGACCUUCGGGCCUCGCACUAUUGGAAACGGCCGAUAUCGGAUUAGCUAGUUGGUGGGGUAACGGCUCACCGGGCGACGAUCCGUAGCUGGUUUGAGAGGACGACCAGCCACGCUGGGACUGAGACACGGCCCAGACUCCUACGGGAGGCAGCAGUGGAGAAUUUUGGACAAUGGGGAAACCUGAUCAGCCAUCCCGCGUGUGCGAUGAAGGCCUUCGGGUUUGUAAGCACUUUUGGCAGAAAGAAACGGCACGGGAUAAUACCCCGUGCAACUGACGGUACCUGCAGAAUAAGCACCGGCUAACUUCGUGCCAACAGCCAUGACGCCGCAACGGUGCCAAGCGUUAAUCGGAAUUACUGGGCGUAAAGCGUGCGCAGGCGGUUCGGAAGAAAGAUGUGAAAUCCCAGAGCUUAACUUUGGAACUGCAUUUUAACUACCGAGCUAGAGUGUGUCAGAGGAGGUGGAAUUCCGCGUGUAGCAGUGAAAUGCGUAGAUAUGCGGAGGAACACCGAUGGCGAAGGCAACCUCCUGGGAUAACACUGACGCUCAUGCACGAAAGCGUGGGGAGCAAACGGGAUUAGAUACCCUGGUAGUCCACGCCUAAACGAUGUCAACUAGCUGUUGGGGCCUUCGGGCCUUGGUAGCGCAACUAACGCGUGAAGUUGACCGCCUGCGGGAAGUAGUCGCAAGAUUAAAACUCAAGGAAUUGACGGGGACCCGCACAACAGUGGAUGAUAUGGAUUAAUUCGAUGCAACGCGAAAACCUUACCUACCCUUGACAUGUCUGGAAUCCCGAAGAGAUUUGGGAGUGCUCGCAAGAACGGAACACAAGGUGCUGCAUGGCUGUCGUCAGCUCGUGUCGUGAGAUGUUGGGUUAAGUCCCGCAACAGGCGCAACCCUUGUCAUUAGUUGCUACGAAAGGGCACUCUAAUGAGACUGCCGGUGACAAACCGGAGGAAGGGGGUAAAGUUGACGUCGAAGUCUCAUGGCCCUUAUGGGUAGGAACUCCGCACGUCAUACAAUGGUCGGGACAGAGGGUCGCCAACCCGCGAGGGGGAGCCAAUCCCAGAAACCCGAUCGUAGCAGUCCCGGAUCACAGUCUGCAACUCGACUGCGUGAAGUCAGAAUCGCUAGUAAUCGCGGAUCAGCAUGUCGCCCGGUGAAUACGUUCCGGGUCUUGUACACACCGCCCGUCACACCAUGGGAGUGGGUUUUACCAGAAGUAGUUAGCCUAACCGUAAGGAGGGCGAUUACCACGGUAGGAUUCAUGACUGGGGUGAAGUCGUAACAAAGAUGG